RNAcentral lists this ribosomal RNA (468 nucleotides) under uncultured bacterium. RNAcentral describes it as "partial 16S ribosomal RNA". It matches the Rfam family "Bacterial small subunit ribosomal RNA", at positions 28 to 507 of the family's 1533-position model. The record is from RNAcentral.
GACGAACGCUGGCGGCGUGCUUAACACAUGCAAGUCGAACGGAAAGGCCCUGCUUUUGUGGGGUGCUCGAGUGGCGAACGGGUGAGUAACACGUGAGUAACCUGCCCUUGACUUUGGGAUAACUUCAGGAAACUGGGGCUAAUACCGGAUAGGAGCUCCUGCUGCAUGGUGGGGGUUGGAAAGUUUCGGCGGUUGGGGAUGGACUCGCGGCUUAUCCGCUUGUUGGUGGGGUAGUGGCUUACCAAGGCUUUGACGGGUAGCCGGCCUGGGAGGGUGGCCGGGCACAUUGGGACUGAGGUACGGCGCAGACGCGUACGGGAGGCAGCGGGGGGGAAUAUUGCGCAGUGGGCGGGAGCCUGAGGCAGCGGCGCCGCGUGCGGGAUGACGGCCUUCGGGUUGUGAACCGCUUUCGCCGGUGACGAAGCGUGAGUGACGGUAAUGGGUAAGGAAGCACCGGCUAACUACGUG